GAUGAACGCUGGCGGCGUGCCUAAUACAUGCGAGUCGAGCGAACGGACGAGAAGCUUGCUUCUCUGAUGUUAGCGGCGGACGGGUGAGUAACACGUGGAUAACCUACCUAUAAGACUGGGAUAACUUCGGGAAACCGGAGCUAAUACCGGAUAAUAUUUUGAACCGCAUGGUUCAAAAGUGAAAGACGGUCUUGCUGUCACUUAUAGAUGGAUCCGCGCUGCAUUAGCUAGUUGGUAAGGUAACGGCUUACCAAGGCAACGAUGCAUAGCCGACCUGAGAGGGUGAUCGGCCACACUGGAACUGAGACACGGUCCAGACUCCUACGGGAGGCAGCAGUAGGGAAUCUUCCGCAAGGGGCGAAAGCCUGACGGAGCAACGCCGCGUGAGUGAUGAAGGUCUUCGGAUCGUAAAACUCUGUUAUUAGGGAAGAACAUAUGUGUAAGUAACUGUGCACAUCUUGACGGUACCUAAUCAGAAAGCCACGGCUAACUACGU
RNAcentral lists this ribosomal RNA (496 nucleotides) under uncultured bacterium. RNAcentral describes it as "partial 16S ribosomal RNA". It matches the Rfam family "Bacterial small subunit ribosomal RNA", at positions 28 to 506 of the family's 1533-position model. The record is from RNAcentral.